AACGAACGCUGGCGGCAUGCCUAACACAUGCAAGUCGAACGAGACCUUCGGGUCUAGUGGCGCACGGGUGCGUAACGCGUGGGAACCUGCCCUUAGGUUCGGAAUAACUCCCCGAAGGGGGUGCUAAUACCGGAUAAUGCCUUCGGACCAAAGAUUUAUCGCCUUUGGAUGGGCCCGCGUUGGAUUAGCUAGUUGGUAGGGUAAAAGCCUACCAAGGCGACGAUCCAUAGCUGGUCUGAGAGGAUGAUCAGCCACACUGGGACUGAGACACGGCCCAGACUCCUACGGGAGGCAGCAGUGGGGAAUAUUGGACAAUGGGCGAAAGCCUGAUCCAGCAAUGCCGCGUGAGUGAUGAAGGCCUUAGGGUUGUAAAGCUCUUUUACCCGGGAUGAUAAUGACAGUACCGGGAGAAUAAGCUCCGGCUAACUCCGUG
RNAcentral lists this ribosomal RNA (433 nucleotides) under uncultured bacterium. RNAcentral describes it as "partial 16S ribosomal RNA". It matches the Rfam family "Bacterial small subunit ribosomal RNA", at positions 29 to 507 of the family's 1533-position model. The record is from RNAcentral.